AACGAACCUGAACCUAUAUAGCCAACAUACACAGCAAGGAUCCAUAUGGCUAGGAACCAAGGAAACGUGCAAUCAAACUAUAUAGUCUCACUGCGAAUAGCUAACACAUCGUAAGUCAAAGGAUCAGCCACACCACUACAUCAUCGAGAAAGAUUAUUGACAAGUGAGUAGACAUCCAAGUGAUUUCUCGUAUUGAUCACGCUCAGCGUAAGUUGUUCUCUAACAAUCACCUACACUCUCACCCC
This 245-nucleotide long non-coding RNA is filed under the name Elaeis guineensis (African oil palm). RNAcentral describes it as "long non-coding RNA (EGUI_LNC035345)". Lineage: Eukaryota; Viridiplantae; Streptophyta; Magnoliopsida; Arecales; Arecaceae. The record is from RNAcentral.